ACCUGCCAUGCAGAACGACCCGUGAACUCGUUACUAUGCUCGAGGGAGUUCACCGCUGGAAGCGCUUGCUCCCCGCGAUGGACCCCUCCUGCCAGGGGGGGCGAGCAGUGAUUCGCUCCUCGUGGCCGAACAACGAACCCCGGCGUGAACUGCGCCAAGGAAAAUUCAACGAGAGAGAGCGCUCCCGCAGCCCCGGACACGGUGAGCUUGCGGGAUGCGUCCCCUUCUUUCAACGAAAAUCCAAAACGACUCUCGGCAACGGAUAUCUCGGCUCUCGCAUCGAUGAAGAACGUAGCGAAAUGCGAUACUUGGUGUGAAUUGCAGAAUCCCGUGAACCAUCGAGUCUUUGAACGCAAGUUGCGCCCCAAGCCGUUAGGCCGAGGGCACGUCUGCCUGGGUGUCACGCAUCGUUGCCCCCCAACCCCCUCUAAGGGAUCCGUUGGAUGGGCGGAAAAUGGCCUCCCGUGUGCUCCUCGUUCGCGGUUGGCCCAAAUUUGAGUCUUUCGGCGAGCGUGCCGCGACGAUCGGUGGUGAAACAUGCCUCUCGAGCUCUCGUCGCGUGCCUGCGUCUCCGUGUUACGGGCUCUAGGACCCUAGCGACGCCUUGUAUUUCGGGUGCUGCUCGCUCUGCGACC
Molecule: ribosomal RNA, 635 nt
Filed under: Cipadessa cinerascens
Lineage: Eukaryota; Viridiplantae; Streptophyta; Magnoliopsida; Sapindales; Meliaceae
Description: eukaryotic LSU rRNA
Rfam family: 5.8S ribosomal RNA (bases 248-403)
Source: RNAcentral